CGCGUCCCCUUUCCUCCUCCGCCGCUGCCGUCGCCGCCACCCUCUGAUAUCCCUUCUCUUUAUUGUUUCUUCCUUUUCUCAUCUCUGACCUACUCUCUAGCUUGAAUCCACGCCGAUAGCAACCAUCUACCGCCUGCCACCUAAACCAGAAACCCUAGAUCGCGACCGUCUAACGACGGUGCGGCGACCCUCCUCCGUUUUACUCCUAUUGCUCCCCCUUUUCCCCUGUUCCGCUUUCUCAUUCCAUUUCAAGCACGCCUGAAGUUUGACACUUUUGAGUAGUUUGAUUGCGACCAGUCUUGCAGAUGUCGCGGGAUAAGGAUUAUUCUACGUUUUCAAGGAAGAGGAGAGGAAAGGACUUGAAAAAAUGACUAGUCUUUCGUGGAAUGGAAGGAUUCGGCAAAACAAUUCUGGGGGUUACAUAAACAAUGGUAUACUCCCAAUAACAACAAUCAGGCGAAAGUGGAUUGCAACUACUUUGCCUUUUGUUAUACUAGUUUCUUUGACUAGAUCCAUAACGUACUUUUCCUGCCUCAUGACGAGCGACUUUAAUUUCAAAAGAAAUAUUUUAAUUUUGAUAAAAUAAUUCAUUAUAAUUCGUUGGCUAGCGGCCGCAUCAAGGUCUUAUUUUCAACUGCAUCAUUUUACGUCACUAUAGUGUCAUUCAUGUAUACAAUAAAAAAAAAAAAAAAAUUCCCCUCGAGUUGAACUUGUUUCAUGCCGUCCGAGAUGAGGGCUUAAGUGAAGAAAUUUCGAAAAUUUCCGUUGCGGCUUGAAUGCUCUUGUGUUUGUGAUCUUAUCUCUUGAGGUUAAGACUUCUACUUCGGAUUGAGCAAAAACACACAAGAGUGGGACGCGAAUCGAAUAACCGAUCAAGAAAGAGAUAAAAGUAGGGACUUAUCAAUAUAGUUUCUGCUUCGACAAUCUAUGAUAGGUUUUAUUUUCAUGGAAAGGGAUGUACUUUGAGGAGAUAAAAGACUUUAUUGCAUCUGUACUUCUGCCGAAUGUUGGCGCCUCUUUGCUGCUGCAGCUUGUCUCGGGAUGCACAUAGAGCAGAAUAUUUAACGUAAUGUCGAUCGAGCAAUGAAACACGUUUUCAAUGGAGAAAAUCGGAACCAAGAAAAUUGCACAAGAGCAGACAGGCCCUUCUUCGGUAAUCCAGAUAAAAAGGUACUUUUUAAGGAAUUAAAAAGUAAUGUAGAGGUGCUGAAUCUUCAAGGAGAAUCAACAAGGAUGGCGACGUGGAUCCUAGUUGGAUGGUUUUCAACCGCUGUCGACUCUAAACCCAUCCACCUCAACUAUUACCAAACAAUGACUCAGAUUUGGCAACUGGACUGAUCUGAAACCGAAACCGAAACCUCUCGUAGAUAGAAGUGGACUGAACCAACACCAUGUACGGCAGUUGGAUACUUAUUUAGAAAGAGGAAUAAAUUAUUUGUCCUAUAUUUUAUUUGAUUAAUAUAUUAUUUUAUUUGAAUAAAUAAAUAAAUAAUCAAAUAAAUAGUUUGUGAUUAAAUACAAAAUAAAUUGAAAAAUAUAAUAUAUAUCAUAUUUUCCUCUCCUUUCUAACGGAGGACGAAAUAUCAAU
Long non-coding RNA from Andrographis paniculata, 1588 nucleotides. RefSeq lists it as uncharacterized. The record is from RefSeq and is a predicted model, not a curated record. Lineage: Eukaryota; Viridiplantae; Streptophyta; Magnoliopsida; Lamiales; Acanthaceae. The transcript is spliced from 6 exons.